This 393-nucleotide RNase P RNA is filed under the name Flavipsychrobacter sp. Its description in RNAcentral is "RNase P RNA component class A". It matches the Rfam family "Bacterial RNase P class A". Rfam says of the family: Ribonuclease P (RNase P) is a ubiquitous endoribonuclease, found in archaea, bacteria and eukarya as well as chloroplasts and mitochondria. The record is from RNAcentral. Lineage: Bacteria; Pseudomonadati; Bacteroidota; Chitinophagia; Chitinophagales; Chitinophagaceae.
CCUUCUCUCCGCGCUGCCGCGGUACGCCUCGGCGUAUCGAGGAAAGUCCGGACAGCAUAGGGCAAUACACCGGCUAACGGCCGGGGAAUGGGAAACCAUUCACAGAUAGUGCCACAGAAAAUAACUACCCUCGCAAGAGGGAAAAGGUGAAAAUGUAGGGUAAGAGCCUACGGCAUGUUUCAGUAAUGGAACAGGCGGGUAAACCUUGUAUGCUGAAAUGCCAUGUAUACCGGUGGUCGAGAGCGGCCCGUUCAAGAAAGCAGCAAUGCUUUCACGCCGGAGGGUAGGCAGAUAGAUCGCUUCAGUAAUGAUGCGGCCAGAUAAAUGGCAGCGGCCCGAAGCCCGGGAAACCGGCUACGGGAACAGAAUCCGGCUUACAGGAGAGAAGAUUUU